RNAcentral lists this ribosomal RNA (443 nucleotides) under uncultured bacterium. Its description in RNAcentral is "SSU rRNA". It matches the Rfam family "Bacterial small subunit ribosomal RNA", at positions 26 to 518 of the family's 1533-position model. The record is from RNAcentral.
AGAGCGAACGCUGGCGGCAGGCCUAACACAUGCAAGUCGAGCGCCCGUAGCAAUACGGGAGCGGCAGACGGGAUAGUAACACGUGGGAACGCGCCCUUCGGUUCGGAAUAACUCAGGGAAACUUGAGCUAAUACCGAAUACGCCCUUACGGGGAAAGAUUUAUUGCCGAAGGAACGGCCCGCGUCCGAUUAGCUAGUUGGUGAGGUAAUGGCUCACCAAGGCUACGAUCGGUAGCUGGUCUGAGAGGAUGACCAGCAUCACUGGGACUGAGACACGGCCCAGACUCCUACGGGAGGCAGCAGUGGGGAAUAUGGACAAUGGCGCAAGCCUGAUCCAGCCAUGCCGCGUGGAUGAUGAAGGCCUUAGGGUUGUAAAGUCUUUAACGGGGAAGAUAAUGACGGUACCGUAGAAUAAGCCCGGCUAACGUUCGUGCCAGCAGCCGC